CAAGGUUCCCUUGGACCGAGAGUUCACCGUUAGUAGCGUCGCGUGAGCUGGGUUUAUAGCGUCGUUCAGACAGAUUGUUCCCUAUCUACCGU
This 92-nucleotide ribosomal RNA is filed under the name Chaetoceros dichaeta. RNAcentral's name for it is "partial Bacterial large subunit ribosomal RNA". The record is from RNAcentral. Lineage: Eukaryota; Bacillariophyta; Thalassiosirophyceae; Chaetocerotales; Chaetocerotaceae. RNAcentral also lists the same sequence under 1 other name.